CUACGGGCGGCAGCAGGCGAGAAAACUUUGCAAUGUGCGAAAGCACGACAAGGUUAAUCCGAGUGGUUUGUGCUAAACGAACCUUUUGUUAGUCCUAGAAACACUGACGAAUAAGGGGUGGGCAAGUUCUGGUGUCAGCCGCCGCGGUAAAACCAGCACCUCAAGUGGUCAGGAUGAUUAUUGGGCCUAAAGCAUCCGUAGCCGGCUCUGUAAGUUUUCGGUUAAAUCUGUGCGCUUAACGUACAGGCUGCCGGGAAUACUGCAGAGCUAGGGAGUGGGAGAGGUAGACGGUACUCGGUAGGAAGGGGUAAAAUCCUUUGAUCUAUUGAUGACCACCUGUGGCGAAGGCGGUCUACCAGAACACGUCCGACGGUGAGGGAUGAAAGCUGGGGGAGCAAACCGGAUUAGAUACCCUCGUAGUC
RNAcentral lists this ribosomal RNA (422 nucleotides) under uncultured archaeon. RNAcentral describes it as "partial 16S ribosomal RNA". It matches the Rfam family "Archaeal small subunit ribosomal RNA", at positions 323 to 746 of the family's 1478-position model. The record is from RNAcentral.